CUCCACAGUGGGCCCGGCAUGAGUUUGAAGAACUCUUCCGACUGUCUGCAGAGACCAUCAACCACCACCAACAGGCACACACUUCCCUGGCAGACAUGGAUGAGCCACAGACACUCACCUUACUGAAGCCAGUGCUUGGGGUCCUGAGAGUGCGUCCACAGAACUGGCAAGACUGUGUGGCGUGGGCUCUUGGCCACUGGAAACUCUGCUUUCAUUAUGGCAUCAAACAGCUGCUGAGGCACUUCCCACCUAAUAAAGUGUGUGGCUAGGGGUUGGGACGCUGGGGGCUCAGGGGGACCAGACUGAGCCCAGCAGCUUCUACUUACCUACCUAGGUGCUUGAGGAUGGAACUCCCUUCUGGUCAGGUCCCAAACAGUGUCCCCAGCCCUUGGAGUUUGACACCAACCAAGUGAGUGGGAUUCUGUAGGGAGCUCCAAGAUAGAGAUGUGGCCCCUCAGAGCAGAGGUAGGCAUUUCUGCAUUCUGCAGAGAUGCACAGAUGCCCAGAGAGAGCCAUGCUUGUGCAUAUAUGGGUGUCUACAUGUGAGGCAAAGGCAGGCACUCAAACAGAUCCACAAAUGGACAGUGACCCCCACCCCAUGCACCCAUACAUGGGUGCUCACUCGCACCCAUGCCUCUG
This 639-nucleotide small RNA is filed under the name Pan troglodytes (chimpanzee). RNAcentral's name for it is "retained intron". The record is from RNAcentral. Lineage: Eukaryota; Metazoa; Chordata; Mammalia; Primates; Hominidae.